This is a long non-coding RNA of Triticum dicoccoides, 553 nucleotides long. RefSeq lists it as uncharacterized. Lineage: Eukaryota; Viridiplantae; Streptophyta; Magnoliopsida; Poales; Poaceae. The transcript has 3 exons. The record is from RefSeq and is a predicted model, not a curated record.
GUAAGAUAGGGAACGCCGCCGCCUGCCAUCGCAACGCCAGCCGAUAGGGCACGCCGCCGUUCGCCACGGGCCGGCCGGCGUCCUGCUCGUCGCCGCCACGGCGUCCCGCUCGUGCCCCGGUGCGCCGCCACCCCUGCUUCCCACUUGUCCCCACCACGUGCGCCGCCUUUUUGCCUCUGCCGGCGCCACCACCGCUCCCUGCCCGUCGCCGCCCGUGGAGCAAGAUGAAGGGUGCUCCGAUGGACGAGCACAAGAAGCCGGCAGAGGAGGAGAACAAGAAUUCUUCCGGCGAGUCAGGAUGCGGAUCCGGCGAGAAAGCAGGUUGAAGCUACAGCCAACAUAGCAGCUGUUCUACUUCUACCAAGCAAGCAAAUGCAGUGAAGAAACCACCACCGCCUGUUUUUCACAGCCGAAGAUAUUCUCGGAUGUGAACGCAGAGGCGACAGGAAUAGGAGACGGCGACGAGGCAUUGAUCUGACAAGUAACACAUACCAGGUCAGUGCACUUUUAAUAAGCAGUGCAUUGAUCUGAGUUGUUGAAGAUGGUAUCUGGA